AUUGAACGCUGGCGGCAUGCCUUACACAUGCAAGUCGAACGGUAACAGGCCUUCGGAUGCUGACGAGUGGCGAACGGGUGAGUAAUACAUCGGAACGUGCCCGAUCGUGGGGGAUAACGGAGCGAAAGCUUUGCUAAUACCGCAUACGAUCUACGGAUGAAAGCAGGGGACCGCAAGGCCUUGCGCGGACGGAGCGGCCGAUGGCAGAUUAGGUAGUUGGUGGGAUAAAAGCUUACCAAGCCGACGAUCUGUAGCUGGUCUGAGAGGACGACCAGCCACACUGGGACUGAGACACGGCCCAGACUCCUACGGGAGGCAGCAGUGGGGAAUUUUGGACAAUGGGCGAAAGCCUGAUCCAGCCAUGCCGCGUGCAGGAUGAAGGCCUUCGGGUUGUAAACUGCUUUUGUACGGAACGAAAAGACUCCUUCUAAUACAGGGGGUCCAUGACGGUACCGGAAGAAUAAGCACCGGCUAACUACGUG
This 482-nucleotide ribosomal RNA is filed under the name uncultured bacterium. Its description in RNAcentral is "partial 16S ribosomal RNA". It matches the Rfam family "Bacterial small subunit ribosomal RNA", at positions 30 to 507 of the family's 1533-position model. The record is from RNAcentral.